UGUGAACCUGGUUAGGCGAGGCUCCUAUAUAGAAAUACGCCACUGCCCAGAAACAUCUAGAGAUGCCAAUGGGUUGAACAUGUAUAAUCGGAAAGGUUAUACAUAACGUGGCUGGUUUUAUCCUAAGCUAUAUAGUGCCAAACCCCAACAGGUGUUAGGAGAAUA
This 165-nucleotide small RNA is filed under the name Caldisalinibacter kiritimatiensis. Its description in RNAcentral is "Magnesium sequence". It matches the Rfam family "M-box riboswitch aptamer (ykoK leader)". From Rfam's summary of the family: M-box riboswitch, also know as ykoK leader is described as a metaloregulatory RNA that sense divalent metals and function as a genetic control element of genes related to divalent metal transport in bacteria. It was first reported upstream of the B.subtilis ykoK gene and genes with related functions in other bacteria. The record is from Rfam by way of RNAcentral. Lineage: Bacteria; Bacillati; Bacillota; Tissierellia; Tissierellales; Thermohalobacteraceae.